UUGUUAAAAAUUAUUUAAUUUAUGUAAACAUUGCAUAAGGUUUUUCCCUAUAAAAAGUGAUCAAACAAUUUUACAUUUUUUAUAUGUAAAUUUGAAAAAAUGGUUGAAAUUCUCAACUUUGUUUAUUUUCUUAUCCUUUUUAUUUCUCUAUUUCUUGAUGUAGUCAAAGGUCAUGAUCAAAGGGAGUGUUAUACUAACUAUGAUUGUUGUGUAAAAUAUUCUUGUCCUUAUAAACAUAUGGUGAAGUGCGUUGGUGGUUAUUGUUUGGGCUUUCGCAAUGACUAUGGUAAAAAAAAUCUCUAUUAGAAUAUCCUCACAACGAGAAUGAGAAGUGGUAUCAAGGUGUUUGAUUACGAGUGUAAAAUGGAUAAUCAUUUUCUCAUCUAUAUUAUAUUUUUCUUGAAUUUUUUUUGUAUUAUUGUUUAUGUUUAAAUUGGAUUCUAGGAUCUGAUAUUGGAACACCAAAGUCUAGUUUUAUACUCUAGUGUUGACUUGUUUUAUUAUGUAUUUAAUUAUAUAUAAGAAUAAUUGUAAUAUUCUCCUAAGAAAAAUAUUUUAUGUUGAAUUAUGA
This is a long non-coding RNA of Medicago truncatula (barrel medic), 571 nucleotides long. RefSeq lists it as uncharacterized. The transcript is spliced from 3 exons. NCBI's taxonomy places the organism in Eukaryota, Viridiplantae, Streptophyta, Magnoliopsida, Fabales, Fabaceae. The record is from RefSeq and is a predicted model, not a curated record.